This 72-nucleotide transfer RNA is filed under the name Camelus bactrianus (Bactrian camel). It matches the Rfam family "tRNA". From Rfam's summary of the family: Transfer RNA (tRNA) molecules are approximately 80 nucleotides in length. Their secondary structure includes four short double-helical elements and three loops (D, anti-codon, and T loops). The record is from Rfam by way of RNAcentral. Lineage: Eukaryota; Metazoa; Chordata; Mammalia; Artiodactyla; Camelidae. RNAcentral also lists the same sequence under 2 other names.
GAUGGUAUAGUUUAGGGGUAGAGUGCAUGCUUAGCAUGCACAAGGUCCUGGGUUCAAUCCCCAGUACCUCCU